CCUACGGGCGGCAGCAGUGAGGAAUAUUGGUCAAUGGGCGCGAGCCUGAACCAGCCAAGUAGCGUGAAGGAUGACUGCCCUACGGGUUGUACACUUCUUUUAUAAAGGAAUAAAGUGAGGCAAGUGUGCCUUUUUGUAUGUACUUUAUGAAUAAGGAUCGGCUAACUCCGUGCCAGCAGCCGCGGUAAUAAGGCGGAUCCGAGCGUUAUCCGGAUUUAUUGGGUUUAAAGGGAGCGUAGAUGGGUUGUUAAGUCAGUUGUGAAAGUUUGCGGAUCAACCGUAAAAUUGCAAUUGAUACUGGCAGUCUUGAGUACAGUUGAGGUAGGCGGAAUUCGUGGUGUAGCGGUGAAAUGCUUAGAUAUCACGAAGAACCCCGAUUGCGAAGGCAGCUUACUAAACUGUGACUGACAUUGAUGCUCGAAAGUGUGGGUAUCAAACAGGAUUAGAUACCCCUGUAGUC
Molecule: ribosomal RNA, 460 nt
Filed under: uncultured bacterium
Lineage: Bacteria
Description: partial 16S ribosomal RNA
Rfam family: Bacterial small subunit ribosomal RNA
Source: RNAcentral